Brachypodium distachyon (stiff brome) is the source of this 747-nucleotide long non-coding RNA. RefSeq lists it as uncharacterized. Lineage: Eukaryota; Viridiplantae; Streptophyta; Magnoliopsida; Poales; Poaceae. The record is from RefSeq and is a predicted model, not a curated record. The transcript has a single exon.
UCAAAGCCGUUCUAGAACGCGUAGACAAAAGCGUCAUGGAUGAGCAUCUCGCGCCUCCGCCACUAGAUUUAUCUGUCGACUGUCAAACCCAACCAUUCUUCUAACCUUCCGCUUGAAUUCCCCGCCUAUAUAAACCCCUCCGUUUCUUGUUCUUCUUCGGUGACCACAAGAGCAACGCAACCAUCGAUCCUUUCCUUGGUUCCCGAGAGCAACAGAGUUCUGUCGCGCCUGCGGUUGUUCUUUUGUGGCCGAGAUGCAGCGGAACAGCUCGUUCGGAACGUCGUGGGCGGACCAAUGGGACACCGGCGCCGACCCGAGCCCGCGAGCGCGCAGCAGCGGCAGCGACGGGAAGAAGCAGGGCGGCGGCGUGGAGAAGACCAAGGCGGCCGCCGCGACCGGGCUGAGGAAAGUGAAGGAGGGCACACAGCACGGGUUCCAGUGGAUCAAAGACAAGUACCAGAAGAAGAGCUCGAAGAACAACAACAGCAAGCAGAGCGGGUCCGAGAUAGCCGGGUACUGACUGACAGAUCAAUCACGACUACACGGGGAAUAUAUGGAGGUGUUUGUAAUGGAUGGAAUUUUUAGAAAUUAUUAGUACUCAGUAGUACUAUAUGUAACUAAUUAAUAUUCUUGUGUACACAUAUAUGCCCGCCAAGUUCUGUUCUUAGCCCUUCUCGUGUAUAAAAAGGAUUCAAUUUUCUUCUGUAAGUGGUGUGAUUAACAGUAAGUUAUACUCCUUCAGUUCCA